AAUUAAGGCCUUUCCGAAAAGGGGAGAUUUAAAUACCCGCAUAAGAUUGUAGUACCGCAUGGUACAGCAAUUAAAGGAGCAAUCCGCUAUGAGAUUGGGCCCGCGGCGCAUUAGCUAGUUGGUGAGGUAACGGCUCACCAAGGCGACGAUGCGUAGCCGACCUGANAGGGUGAUCGGCCACAUUGGGACUGAGACACGGCCCAGACUCCUACGGGAGGCAGCAGUGGGGAAUAUUGCACAAUGGGGGAAACCCUGAUGCAGCAACGCCGCGUGAGUGAUGACGGCCUUCGGGUUGUAAAGCUCUGUCUUCAGGGACGAUAAUGACGGUACCUGAGGAGGAAGCCACGGCUAACUACGUG
This 359-nucleotide ribosomal RNA is filed under the name uncultured bacterium. RNAcentral's name for it is "bacterial SSU rRNA". It matches the Rfam family "Bacterial small subunit ribosomal RNA", at positions 142 to 507 of the family's 1533-position model. The record is from RNAcentral.